UUAUUGGGUAUCAAAACCUAAUAGCGAAAUUAACAUAACUUUUAUGGGAUUAGUUUUUAGAUUAUUUAUAGUCUAUUAAUUCAAUCCCGGGGCGUUCUAUAUAGUUAUGUAUAAUAAUAUUUAUAUUAUUUAUACCUCUAACUAGAGCGUACCUUGAGCAUAUAUGCUGUGACCCGAAAGAUGGUGAACUAUACUUGAUCAGGUUGAAGUCAGGGGAAACCCUGAUGGAAGACCGAAACAGUUCUGACGUGCAAAUCGAUUGUCAGAAUUGAGUAUAGGGGCGAAAGACCAAUCGAACCAUCUAGUAGCUGGUUCCCUCCGAAGUUUCCCUCAGGAUAGCUGGUGCAUUUAAAUAUUAUGUAAAAUAAUCUUAUCUGGUAAAGCGAAUGAUUAGAGGCCUUAGGGUCGAAACGACCUUAACCUAUUCUCAAACUUUAAAUGGGUAAGAACCUCACCUUUCUUGGUAUGAAGGUUGUGGUUGUGAUAUAAUGUGCCCAGUGGGCCACUUUUGGUAAGCAGAACUGGCGCUGUGGGAUGAACCAAACGUAAUGUUACGGUGCCCAAAUUAACAACUCAUGCAGAUACCAUGAAAGGCGUUGGUUGCUUAAAACAGCAGGACGGUGGACAUGGAAGUCGUAAUC
Molecule: ribosomal RNA, 641 nt
Filed under: Ravinia pusiola
Lineage: Eukaryota; Metazoa; Arthropoda; Insecta; Diptera; Sarcophagidae
Description: eukaryotic LSU rRNA
Rfam family: Eukaryotic large subunit ribosomal RNA
Source: RNAcentral